Molecule: long non-coding RNA, 352 nt
Organism: Helianthus annuus (common sunflower)
Lineage: Eukaryota; Viridiplantae; Streptophyta; Magnoliopsida; Asterales; Asteraceae
Exons: 3
Source: RefSeq, a predicted model, not a curated record
AACACACUGGUGGUGUUGUUGGUCGACGACAAGCAAGAACAAAAGGGGGAAAACCCUAGCUUUCAAGAAUUCUCAAGAUUUGGAAGGAAUUGAGAGCCCAAAUCGAUGCAAGAACCCGAAUUGUCAACCAUCUAAGUUCUAACAACAAUAGGCGUGAAGGAGGAAAGCUCUAACACUAGUAAAGCGGAAGGAGCACAAGAUCGAGGUAAAGCACCUCUAUAGGCGAUUUGGAGAUAUGGGACGAGCACAUGUUCAAGCCUUAAGAUACCAUGCGCUUCCGCAACUUAUAUGCAUGCUUUUGGAUCGUGUUUAUUACUUGUUGACUUGUUGAAAUGUGUUAGAAUUAAAAACU